Molecule: transfer RNA, 83 nt
Filed under: Thermoprotei archaeon
Lineage: Archaea; Thermoproteati; Thermoproteota; Thermoprotei
Description: tRNA-Arg
Rfam family: tRNA
About the family: Transfer RNA (tRNA) molecules are approximately 80 nucleotides in length.
Source: RNAcentral
GCGGGGGUGCCCGAGCCAGGAAAGGGGGUUUCCCCCUCCUAUGGCGAAGGCCUGCGUGGGUUCGAAUCCCACCCCCCGCACCA